Molecule: ribosomal RNA, 497 nt
Filed under: uncultured bacterium
Lineage: Bacteria
Description: partial 16S ribosomal RNA
Rfam family: Bacterial small subunit ribosomal RNA
Source: RNAcentral
GAUGAACGCUGGCGGCGUGCCUAACACAUGCAAGUCGAGCGAACGGACGAGAAUUUUUCUUCUCUGCUGUUAGCGGCGGAUGGGUGAGUCACACGUGUAUACCCUACCUAUAAGACUGGGAUAACUUCGGGAAACCGGAUCCAACAUCGGUCAAUAUUUUGAACCGCAUGGUUCUACAGUGAAAGACCGUCUUGCUGUCACUUAUAGAGGGAUCCUCGUUGCAUUAGCUAGUUGGUAAGGUAACGGCUUACCAAGGCGACGAUGCAUAGCCGACCUGAGAGGGUGAUCGGCCACACUGGAACUGAGACACGGUCCAGACUCCUACGGGAGGCAGCAGUAGGGAAUCUUGCGCAAUGGGCGAAAGCCUGACGCAGCCACGCCGCGUGAGUGAUGAAGGUCUUCGGAUCGUAAAGCUCUGUUAGUAGGGAGGAACAUAAGUAUGAGUAACUGUGCACAUCUUGACGGUACCUACACAGAAAGCCACGGCUAACUACGUG